This 451-nucleotide ribosomal RNA is filed under the name uncultured bacterium. RNAcentral's name for it is "bacterial SSU rRNA". It matches the Rfam family "Bacterial small subunit ribosomal RNA", at positions 330 to 795 of the family's 1533-position model. The record is from RNAcentral.
ACCAGACUCCUACGGGAGGCAGCAGUGGGGAAUAUUGGGCAAUGGGCGCAAGCCUGACCCAGCAACGCCGCGUGAAGGAAGAAGGCUUUCGGGUUGUAAACUUCUUUUCUCAGGGACGAAGAGAGUGACGGUACCUGAGGAAUAAGCCACGGCUAACUACGUGCCAGCAGCCGCGGUAAUACGUAGGUGGCAAGCGUUAUCCGGAUUUACUGGGUGUAAAGGGCGUGUAGGCGGGACUGCAAGUCAGAUGUGAAAACCAUGGGCUCAACCUGUGGCCUGCAUUUGAAACUGUAGUUCUUGAGUACUGGAGAGGCAGGCGGAAUUCCUAGUGUAGCGGUGAAAUGCGUAGAUAUUAGGAGGAACACCGGCGGCGAAGGCGGCCUGCUGGACCGUAACUGACGUUGAGGCUCGAAAGCGUGGGGAGCAAACAGGAUUAGAUACCCCCGUAGCC